RNAcentral lists this long non-coding RNA (604 nucleotides) under Homo sapiens (human). RNAcentral describes it as "non-coding RNA in the aldehyde dehydrogenase 1A pathway". The record is from RNAcentral. Lineage: Eukaryota; Metazoa; Chordata; Mammalia; Primates; Hominidae.
AGGAAGGUUAUGUGGUAACCAGUUUAUGACUUGAACUAUAGGCAAAGAUUGACCAGACCAAGCCCUGAGACACAGUGUUGAGAGCCAAGACAUAAAGUUGUGAAGAUUCAGACCCAGAGCCCAGCAGGGCACAGGCUGGAGGGGUGAUGUGAGUGAUCAGUAACACCAUGAAGACUCUGCUCCUGGGUCAGGAAUGCUUUUUUGUCCCUGUUUUUGGAUUUUCCACCAUGAUCAGAAAGAAAUCUAAAGGUGAAGGAAAGGCAGCGUUCAGCACUGAGCAAGUCCAUGUUGGAGAAAGGAUAAAUAUUCUCAAAGAUUCAAGCUAUGAAGACCAAAUCUACAGAAGAUAGCAACUCAUUCACAGGGAAUUGGAAAUCCUUGUCUUCGUGGUUCCUGGCUCAGCAGGACCCCUGUGGGGCCUCUCCCUCUCUUGGGAAAGAGAUUGCUCUAGAAGGUUUACUACACCAGUGAGGAGAAGAUGAGCGCAAGGGGGAUUGGCCGGCUGAGGGCGAAAUCAAGACUGGAGCCAAGUGCGCUGAGCUCUCACAUGAGGUCCUUUGCUCCUGUUCCCUGGAGGCAUAAGUGGCUGGGGUAGAGAGAAGCA